Non-coding RNA from Pelobates cultripes (western spadefoot toad), 208 nucleotides. The record is from the annotation of a GenBank genome assembly. Lineage: Eukaryota; Metazoa; Chordata; Amphibia; Anura; Pelobatidae.
AGUGUGUGUAGGGGUUGUAGAGAGGGUGUGUUUAGAGAAUGUUGUAUGUCUUUCCUUAGAAGGAAUAUAGUGUGUGUGUGUGUAGGUGGUGCAGUGUGUGUGUGUAAGAGAUCUAGUGUGUAAAGGACCCAGAGUGUGUAUAGAAGAUUGUGUGUGUGUGUGUGUGUGUGUAGAGGAUUAAGAGUGCAUAUAGGGUAAGGGAUCUAGC